GAACUGCGAUAAGUAAUGUGAAUUGCAGAAUUCAGUGAAUCAUCGAGUCUUUGAACGCACAUUGCGCCCCCUGGCAUUCCGGGGGGCAUGCCUGUCCGAGCGUCAUUGCUGCCCUUCAAGCCCGGCUUGUGUGUUGGGUCGUCGUCCCCUCCGGGGGACGGGCCCGAAAGGCAGCGGCGGCACCGCGUCCGGUCCUCGAGCGUAUGGGGCUUUGUCACCCGCUCGAUAAGGACCGGCCGGGCGCCAGCCGGCGUCUCCAACCUUUUUUUUUCAGGUUGACCUCGGAUCAGGUAGGGAUACCCGCUGAACUUAAGC
RNAcentral lists this unclassified non-coding RNA (315 nucleotides) under plant metagenome. Its description in RNAcentral is "partial contains 5.8S ribosomal RNA, internal transcribed spacer 2, and large subunit ribosomal RNA". The stretch from base 1 to 105 matches the Rfam family "5.8S ribosomal RNA", at positions 50 to 154 of the family's 154-position model. The record is from RNAcentral.